Molecule: long non-coding RNA, 326 nt
Organism: Papaver somniferum (opium poppy)
Lineage: Eukaryota; Viridiplantae; Streptophyta; Magnoliopsida; Ranunculales; Papaveraceae
Exons: 3
Source: RefSeq, a predicted model, not a curated record
AAUGGGAUUUCCUGAAUUUCCUGAUGGUUGCGUCCUUUCUCUGAAGGAUCAAACUCCGGUGAAGUUCUUGGGACGAUAUAAUGCAAACAUUUGGUCACUUAGCAGGGGGCUCAACAAGACGUGCUAGUUGAUAUGGUUGCAUAAAGUCAUUCUUACAAGCAGAGAUUGGUACACCUUAUCAACACAACUACGCAUUUUGGAGUCAUGUUACAUGAAAGAAGAGGAGAAGAGGCAUAAUUCAUCAUUUUGGCUACGCUAGGUGCUAAUGGAUUUGAAGCCAAGGCAGUCACACUUAUUAAUCGGGGUAGCCACCUGCUGUGAUAAGG